CAUGGCUCAGAUUGAACGCUGGCGGCAGGCCUAACACAUGCAAGUCGAGCGGAAACGAGUUAUCUGAACCUUCGGGGRASGAUARCGGCGUCGAGCGGCGGACGGGUGAGUAAUGCCUAGGAAAUUGCCCUGAUGUGGGGGAUAACCAUUGGAAACGAUGGCUAAUACCGCAUGAUGCCUACGGGCCAAAGAGGGGGACCUUCGGGCCUCUCGCGUCAGGAUAUGCCUAGGUGGGAUUAGCUAGUUGGUGAGGUAAGGGCUCACCAAGGCGACGAUCCCUAGCUGGUCUGAGAGGAUGAUCAGCCACACUGGAACUGAGACACGGUCCAGACUCCUACGGGAGGCAGCAGUGGGGAAUAUUGCACAAUGGGCGCAAGCCUGAUGCAGCCAUGCCGCGUGUGU
RNAcentral lists this ribosomal RNA (402 nucleotides) under Salmonella enterica subsp. enterica serovar Typhi. RNAcentral describes it as "bacterial SSU rRNA". The record is from RNAcentral. Lineage: Bacteria; Pseudomonadati; Pseudomonadota; Gammaproteobacteria; Enterobacterales; Enterobacteriaceae.